RNAcentral lists this unclassified non-coding RNA (188 nucleotides) under uncultured fungus. RNAcentral describes it as "sequence contains ITS1". The record is from RNAcentral. Lineage: Eukaryota; Fungi.
UUUUGUUUUUUUUAGUUUAUAAUGUUACAAUAAAUCAAAAAGAGUGUGAUUCUCCGGCAGGUACUAGCCCAUUUUUCAAUCAACCGUAAGCCUGCCGAAGCAACUAAACUUGAAAACAAGGGUGGGAGUUUUUCGGUUUACCCAAAAAAUACUCGGUAAUGAUCCUUCCGCAGGUUCACCUACGGAAA